Molecule: non-coding RNA, 458 nt
Organism: Lonchura striata (white-rumped munia)
Lineage: Eukaryota; Metazoa; Chordata; Aves; Passeriformes; Estrildidae
Source: RefSeq, a predicted model, not a curated record
UCCCCCAAGAUUCUCUUCUCCUUGCUUCAAGAUAAUGGUUGAUUGUGAUGAAAAAAGCAAACCUCCUGUGCUGGAGGGGCUGAUGAACUGCUUCAAAAGCAAAAUGGGAGCAGCAAAGCAGCACAGAGAGAGGAGCUGCAGCAGCCCCUGGUCUGCAGGUGCUGCUGUGUUUCACUUGGCAGGAAAACGCUGAGUUUUUGUUGGGUUCAGCAAUCCUGGUGUCUGCACAGCUGAGAGAAAUGGCACUUCCCAGUGAGUGUGAGUGUGGCUUUGCAGCUCUGACAAGGCUCUCACCUGCCCUGGGAGGAAGCAGCAGGGCUGGAAAGCUGUGCAGUCACAAUAUGCUGACUAAGAAUAAUUUUGGAGCAAACAAGCAUACCGUCAUUGGGAAAGGAAGCUGUUUCAUUUCAAGAUGUGAAGGGAAUUUAAAAUCACAUUUGAAAUAAAAUUAACCUUUU